This 897-nucleotide small RNA is filed under the name Pan troglodytes (chimpanzee). Its description in RNAcentral is "retained intron". Lineage: Eukaryota; Metazoa; Chordata; Mammalia; Primates; Hominidae. The record is from RNAcentral.
UUUUCUUUUUUAGAUAUCGCAAUUUUGAUCAGCCUCAUCGAUUUUAUGUAGCUGAUGUGUACACUGAUCUUACCCCACUCAGUAAAUUUCCUUCCCCUGAGUAUGAAACUUUUGCAGAAUAUUAUAAAACAAAGUACAACCUUGACCUAACCAAUCUCAACCAGCCACUGCUGGAUGUGGACCACACAUCUUCAAGACUUAAUCUUUUGACACCUCGACAUUUGAAUCAGAAGGGGAAAGCGCUUCCUUUAAGCAGUGCUGAGAAGAGGAAAGCCAAAUGGGAAAGUCUGCAGAAUAAACAGAUACUGGUUCCAGAACUCUGUGCUAUACAUCCAAUUCCAGCAUCACUGUGGAGAAAAGCUGUUUGUCUCCCCAGCAUACUUUAUCGCCUUCACUGCCUUUUAACUGCAGAGGAGCUAAGAGCCCAGACUGCCAGUGAUGCUGGCGUGGGAGUCAGAUCACUUCCUGCGGAUUUUAGAUACCCUAACUUAGACUUCGGGUGGAAAAAAUCUAUUGACAGCAAAUCUUUCAUCUCAAUUUCUAACUCCUCUUCAGCUGAAAAUGAUAAUUACUGUAAGCACAGCACAAUUGUCCCUGAAAAUGCUGCACAUCAAGGUGCUAAUAGAACCUCCUCUCUAGAAAAUCAUGACCAAAUGUCUGUGAACUGCAGAACGUUGCUCAGCGAGUCCCCUGGUAAGCUCCACGUUGAAGUUUCAGCAGAUCUUACAGCAAUUAAUGGUCUUUCUUACAAUCAAAAUCUCGCCAAUGGCAGUUAUGAUUUAGCUAACAGAGACUUUUGCCAAGGAAAUCAGCUAAAUUACUACAAGCAGGAAAUACCCGUGCAACCAACUACCUCAUAUUCCAUUCAGAAUUUAUACAGUUACGAGAACCAGCCCC